CCUACGGGAGGCUGCAGUGGGGAAUAUUGCGCAAUGGGCGAAAGCCUGACGCAGCGACGCCGCGUGAGGGAUGAAGGUCUUCGGAUCGUAAACCUCUGUCAGCAGGGAAGAACGGGCACGGUGCUAAUCAGCAGGGAAUUGACGGUACCGGCAAAGGAAGCACCGGCAAACUCCGGGCCAGAAGCCGCGGUAAUACGGAGGGGGCGAGCGGUAAUCGGAAUUACUGGGCGUAAAGCGCUCGUAGGCGGUAUGUCAAGUCAAGGGUGAAAUCCCCUCGCUCAACGUGGGAACUGCCUUUGAAACUGGCAACCUGGAGUGUGUGAGAGGUUAGUGGAAUUCCUGGUGUAGGAGUGAAAUCCGUAGAUAUCUGGAGGAACAUCAGUGGCGAAGGCGACUUUCUGGCCCAUACCUGACGCUGAGGCUCGAAAGCGUGGGUAGCAAACAGGAUUAGAUACCCUAGUAGUC
RNAcentral lists this ribosomal RNA (465 nucleotides) under uncultured bacterium. RNAcentral describes it as "partial 16S ribosomal RNA". It matches the Rfam family "Bacterial small subunit ribosomal RNA", at positions 338 to 795 of the family's 1533-position model. The record is from RNAcentral.